GAUUAGUGAAAGUGGCAGAGAUGUCAUGUCCGCAAGGGCGCUAUACAGGUGGUGCAUGGUUGUCGUCAGCUCGUGUCGUGAGAUGUUGGGUUAAGUCCCGCAACGAGCGCAACCCUCGUUCUGUGUUACCAGCAUUUAGUUGGGGACUCACAGGAGACUGCCGGGGUCAACUCGGAGGAAGGUGGGGAUGACGUCAAAUCAUCAUGCCCCUUAUGUCUUGGGCUGCACGCAUGCUACAAUGGCCGGUACAAAGUGCUGCGAGAUCGCAAGAUUGAGCGAAUCACAUAAAGCCGGUCUCAGUUCGGAUUGAGGUCUGCAACUCGACCUCAUGAAGUCGGAGUUGCUAGUAAUCGUAGAUCAGCAACGCUACGGUGAAUACGUUCCCGGGUCUUGUACACACCGA
RNAcentral lists this ribosomal RNA (403 nucleotides) under uncultured bacterium. RNAcentral's name for it is "bacterial SSU rRNA". It matches the Rfam family "Bacterial small subunit ribosomal RNA", at positions 986 to 1393 of the family's 1533-position model. The record is from RNAcentral.